UACGUAGGGGGCGAGCGUUGUCCGGAAUUACUGGGCGUAAAGAGCUCGUAGGUGGUUUGUCGCGUUGUCCGUGAAAACUCACAACUCAAUUGUGGGCGUGCGGGCGAUACGGGCAGACUGGAGUACUGCAGGGGAGACUGGAAUUCCUGGUGUAGCGGUGGAAUGCGCAGAUAUCUGGAGGAACACCGGUGGCGAAGGCGGCAUCCUGGACCGAGAUUGACGCUGAGGCGCGAAAGCUAGGGGAGCAAACGGG
RNAcentral lists this ribosomal RNA (253 nucleotides) under uncultured bacterium. RNAcentral's name for it is "partial 16S ribosomal RNA". It matches the Rfam family "Bacterial small subunit ribosomal RNA", at positions 524 to 776 of the family's 1533-position model. The record is from RNAcentral.